GCAUACCAACGUUUUGAGUGCAGUUCUGCUUAGAACAUUGUGCAAAGCAUAUCGCACCUGUUGCGUUUGCUCGUUCAACGUUUGCCCUGCAAAAUCUCCCUCCUUCUUUUAUCGUCAUCUUCGUUAAUGCGCACGCGCAUAGUUUUAUAACGCCGUUGCUUAUCAUGGCGCAUUCAGAAUCAGAGAGAGAAAAAUCAUUGUCGAAAGAGGAAUUGCAUUUAAUGAAUCGAAAUAUCAAGGAUAAGAGAGGGGACAGAAGGUUUCGAGAGCACAAGAGAGUUUAAGUCGAAGAAAUCGACUUUGACGUCAUGCUUUUCUCGCGCGACGAACGGAUGGGAAAACGCUUCCUUUUAGCCACAGACAAUGUAGCUUUGAAACGACCUUUGACAUUACACGGCUAUACUAUCGAUCUUUUAUUUAAGUUAAAUAGUUCAUCAAAUUUUAAACGAUGUAAAUAUAUCAUUCUCCAAGACACAUGUACAAACCAUUUGAUUUUAUACAAUAUGUAUGUUCAUAACCUAAAAAAUGAACAUAAAAAUAACCUAAAACUUUUACUUUUGAUUUAAUCCUUUCAUAUAUUUUCUAAUGAAAUACAAAUGAAAAAAUAAAAAUAUAAUGAUAUUUUAACAUACACAACAACAUUUCCAAUUCUUGUCUUAAUUUGGAGGUUAUGUUCAUCGAUCGAGAAUUCGAAAAUUGAUCAUUCUUAAAAAAUCAAAGUGAACACAAUUCAUGCGUUUCUUUCACAUCAAGGAAAGUCCCAGUGAGUCUGAUGGUCGUGCAUGAGGCGGUGAUCGAUACCAUCGCACGACUCUUAAGCGGAUCGUGCACGUCGUAUUGACCGGCAAUUUUCGCGCGGAGGAAGGUCAUCACGAGACAUACAAGAACACAGAGUGAGCAUACAAGGAAUACGAUAUAACCGGUAUGUAGUGUGUGCGCCAGGGAAUA
Molecule: long non-coding RNA, 948 nt
Organism: Apis mellifera (honey bee)
Lineage: Eukaryota; Metazoa; Arthropoda; Insecta; Hymenoptera; Apidae
Exons: 2
Source: RefSeq, a predicted model, not a curated record